This 28-nucleotide non-coding RNA is filed under the name Bombyx mori (domestic silkworm). Lineage: Eukaryota; Metazoa; Arthropoda; Insecta; Lepidoptera; Bombycidae. The record is from RNAcentral.
UGCUUGGUGCUCCUGUUUCUAUAAUGUC